AUUGAACGCUGGCGGCAGGCCUAACACAUGCAAGUCGAGCGGAUGAAGGGAGCUUGCUCCUGGAUUCAGCGGCGGACGGGUGAGUAAUGCCUAGGAAUCUGCCUGGUAGUGGGGGAUAACGUCCGGAAACGGGCGCUAAUACCGCAUACGUCCUGAGGGAGAAAGUGGGGGAUCUUCGGACCUCACGCUAUCAGAUGAGCCUAGGUCGGAUUAGCUAGUUGGUGGGGUAAAGGCCUACCAAGGCGACGAUCCGUAGCUGGUCUGAGAGGAUGAUCAGUCACACUGGAACUGAGACACGGUCCAGACUCCUACGGGAGGCAGCAGUGGGGAAUAUUGGACAAUGGGCGAAAGCCUGAUCCAGCCACGCCGCGUGUGUGAAGAAGGUCUUCGGAUUGUAAAGCACUUUAAGUUGGGAGGAAGGGCAGUAAGUUAAUACCUUGCUGUUUUGACGUUACCAACAGAAUAAGCACCGGCUAACUUCGUG
RNAcentral lists this ribosomal RNA (484 nucleotides) under uncultured bacterium. RNAcentral describes it as "partial 16S ribosomal RNA". It matches the Rfam family "Bacterial small subunit ribosomal RNA", at positions 30 to 507 of the family's 1533-position model. The record is from RNAcentral.